GUCCGCACGGUAAACGAUGGAUGCCCGCCCUUGGCGAUAUACGGUCAGGGGCCAAGCGAAAGCAUUAAGCAUCCCACCUGGGGAGUACGCCGGCAACGGUGAAACUCAAAGGAAUUGACGGGGGCCCGCACAAGCGGAGGAACAUGUGGUUUAAUUCGAUGAUACGCGAGGAACCUUACCCGGGCUUGAAUUGCAACGGACGGACAUGGAAACAUGUCUUCCCUCCGGGGCCGUUGUGAAGGUGCUGCAUGGUUGUCGU
Molecule: ribosomal RNA, 259 nt
Filed under: uncultured bacterium
Lineage: Bacteria
Description: partial 16S ribosomal RNA
Rfam family: Bacterial small subunit ribosomal RNA
Source: RNAcentral